GUUGUAUGGUUAAGUGACUAAGCGUACACGGUGGAUGCCUUGGCAGUCAGAGGCGAUGAAAGACGUAGUAACUUGCGAUAAGCCCAGAUUAGGUAGUAACAACCAUUUGAGUCUGGGAUUUCUGAAUGGGGAAACCCACGUGCAUAAGCACGUAUCCUUACCUGAAUACAUAGGGUAAGGAGGCGAACCGGGGGAACUGAAACAUCUAAGUACCCCGAGGAAAAGAAAUCAACCGAGAUUCCGAAAGUAGCGGCGAGCGAAAUUGGACUAGCCCUUAAGCUUUACACGCGUUAGACGAACGGUCUGGAAAGUCCGACGAUACAGGGUGAUAGUCCCGUAGUUGACGACGUGUGUUCAGUGAAAUCGAGUAGGGCGGGACACGUGAUAUCCUGUCUGAAUAUGGGGGGACCAUCCUCCAAGGCUAAAUACUACUGACUGACCGAUAGUGAACCAGUACCGUGAGGGAAAGGCGAAAAGAACCCCUGUGAGGGGAGUGAAAUAGAACCUGAAACCGUGUACGUACAAGCAGUAGGAGCAGGCUUUGUCCUGUGACUGCGUACCUUUUGUAUAAUGGGUCAGCGACUUAUAUUCAGUGGCAAGGUUAACCAUCUAGGGGAGCCGUAGGGAAACCGAGUCUUAACUGGGCGUUCAGUCUCUGGAUAUAGACCCGAAACCAGGUGAUCUAGCCAUGGGCAGGUUGAAGGUUGAGUAACAUCAACUGGAGGACCGAACCGACUAAUGUUGAAAAAUUAGCGGAUGACUUGUGGCUAGGGGUGAAAGGCCAAUCAAACCUGGAGAUAGCUGGUUCUCCCCGAAAGCUAUUUAGGUAGCGCCUCGGACGAAUACUACUGGGGGUAGAGCACUGUUAAGGCUAGGGGGUCAUCCCGACUUACCAACCCUUUGCAAACUCCGAAUACCAGUAAGUACUAUCCGGGAGACACACGGCGGGUGCUAACGUCCGUCGUGGAGAGGGAAACAACCCAGACCGCCAGCUAAGGUCCCAAAUUACUACUAAGUGGGAAACGAUGUGGGAAGGCUCAGACAGCCAGGAUGUUGGCUUAGAAGCAGCCAUCAUUUAAAGAAAGCGUAAUAGCUCACUGGUCGAGUCGGCCUGCGCGGAAGAUGUAACGGGGCUAAGUAGUAAACCGAAGCUGCGGCAAUGUGCUUUUGCACAUUGGGUAGGGGAGCGUUCUGUAAGCGGUUGAAGGUGUGUGGUAACGCAUGCUGGACGUAUCAGAAGUGCGAAUGCUGACAUGAGUAACGAUAAAGGGGGUGAAAAACCUCCUCGCCGGAAGACCAAGGGUUCCUGUCCAACGUUAAUCGGGGCAGGGUAAGUCGACCCCUAAGGCGAGGCCGAAAGGCGUAGUCGAUGGGAAACGGGUUAAUAUUCCCGUACUUCUUACAAUUGCGAUGGGGGGACGGAGAAGGCUAGGUGGGCCUGGCGACGGUUGUCCAGGUUCAAGUGCGUAGGCUUAAGAGUUAGGUAAAUCCGGCUCUUUUUAAGGCUGAGACACGACGUCGAGCACCUACGGGUGUGAAGUCAUUGAUGCCAUGCUUCCAGGAAAAGCCUCUAAGCUUCAGAUUGUAAGGAAUCGUACCCCAAACCGACACAGGUGGUCGGGUAGAGAAUACCAAGGCGCUUGAGAGAACUCGGGUGAAGGAACUAGGCAAAAUGGUACCGUAACUUCGGGAGAAGGUACGCUCUUGAUGGUGAAGUCCCUUGCGGAUGGAGCUGACGAGAGUCGCAGAUACCAGGUGGCUGCAACUGUUUAUUAAAAACACAGCACUGUGCAAAAUCGUAAGAUGACGUAUACGGUGUGACGCCUGCCCGGUGCCGGAAGGUUAAUUGAUGGGGUUAGACUUCGGUCGAAGCUCUUGAUCGAAGCCCCGGUAAACGGCGGCCGUAACUAUAACGGUCCUAAGGUAGCGAAAUUCCUUGUCGGGUAAGUUCCGACCUGCACGAAUGGCGUAAUGAUGGCCACGCUGUCUCCACCCGAGACUCAGUGAAAUUGAAAUCGCUGUGAAGAUGCAGUGUACCCGCGGCUAGACGGAAAGACCCCGUGAACCUUUACUACAGCUUGGCACUGAACAUUGACCCUACAUGUGUAGGAUAGGUGGGAGGCUUUGAAGCACGUACGCCAGUAUGUGUGGAGCCGUCCUUGAAAUACCACCCUUGUAGUGUUGAUGUUCUAACGUCGACCCCUUAUCGGGGUUGCGGACAGUGCCUGGUGGGUAGUUUGACUGGGGCGGUCUCCUCCCAAAGAGUAACGGAGGAGCACGAAGGUGGGCUAAUCACGGUUGGACAUCGUGAGGUUAGUGCAAUGGCAUAAGCCCGCUUGACUGCGAGAAUGACAAUUCGAGCAGGUGCGAAAGCAGGUCAUAGUGAUCCGGUGGUUCUGAAUGGAAGGGCCAUCGCUCAACGGAUAAAAGGUACUCCGGGGAUAACAGGCUGAUACCGCCCAAGAGUUCAUAUCGACGGCGGUGUUUGGCACCUCGAUGUCGGCUCAUCACAUCCUGGGGCUGAAGUCGGUCCCAAGGGUAUGGCUGUUCGCCAUUUAAAGUGGUACGCGAGCUGGGUUUAGAACGUCGUGAGACAGUUCGGUCCCUAUCUGCCGUGGGCGUUGGAAGAUUGAAGGGGGCUGCUCCUAGUACGAGAGGACCGGAGUGGACGAACCUCUGGUGUUCGGGUUGUGUCGCCAGACGCAUUGCCCGGUAGCUAAGUUCGGAAUCGAUAACCGCUGAAAGCAUCUAAGCGGGAAGCGAGCCCUGAGAUGAGUCUUCCCUGAUACUUUAAGUAUCCUAAAGGGUUGUCGGAGACUACGACGUUGAUAGGUCAGGUGUGUAAGUGCUGUGAGGCAUUGAGCUAACUGAUACUAAUUGCCCGUGAGGCUUAACCAUACAACACCCAAGGGGUUU
This 2916-nucleotide ribosomal RNA is filed under the name Vibrio parahaemolyticus. RNAcentral's name for it is "23S ribosomal RNA". It matches the Rfam family "Bacterial large subunit ribosomal RNA". Lineage: Bacteria; Pseudomonadati; Pseudomonadota; Gammaproteobacteria; Vibrionales; Vibrionaceae. The record is from RNAcentral.